This 432-nucleotide ribosomal RNA is filed under the name uncultured bacterium. Its description in RNAcentral is "partial 16S ribosomal RNA". It matches the Rfam family "Bacterial small subunit ribosomal RNA", at positions 29 to 506 of the family's 1533-position model. The record is from RNAcentral.
AGCGAACGCUGGCGGCAGGCUUAACACAUGCAAGUCGAGCGGACCUUUCGGGGUCAGCGGCGGACGGGUGAGUAACGCGUGGGAACGUGCCUUCCGGUUCGGAAUAACCCUGGGAAACUAGGGCUAAUACCGGAUACGCCCUUAUGGGGAAAGGUUUACUGCCGGAAGAUCGGCCCGCGUCUGAUUAGCUAGUUGGUGGGGUAACGGCCUACCAAGGCGACGAUCAGUAGCUGGUCUGAGAGGAUGAUCAGCCACACUGGGACUGGGACACGGCCCAGACUCCUGCGGGAGGCAGCAGUGGGGAAUAUUGGACAAUGGGCGCAAGCCUGAUCCAGCCAUGCCGGGUGAGUGAUGAAGGCCUUAGGGUUGUAAAGCUCUUUUAUCCGGGACGAUAAUGACGGUACCGGAGGAAUAAGCCCCGGCUAACUUCGU